RNAcentral lists this ribosomal RNA (253 nucleotides) under uncultured bacterium. RNAcentral's name for it is "partial 16S ribosomal RNA". It matches the Rfam family "Bacterial small subunit ribosomal RNA", at positions 524 to 776 of the family's 1533-position model. The record is from RNAcentral.
UACGGGGGGGGCAAGCGUUGUUCGGAAUUACUGGGCGUAAAGGGCUCGUAGGUGGCCAACUAAGUCAGACGUGAAAUCCCUCGGCUUAACCGGGGAACUGCGUCUGAUACUGGAUGGCUAGAGAUUGGGAGAGGGAUGCGGAAUUCCAGGUGUAGCGGUGAAAUGCGUAGAUAUCUGGAGGAACACCGGUGGCGAAGGCGGCAUCCUGGACCGGUAUUGACGCUGAGGAGCGAAAGCCAGGGGAGCAAACGGG